RNAcentral lists this ribosomal RNA (376 nucleotides) under uncultured bacterium. RNAcentral describes it as "bacterial SSU rRNA". It matches the Rfam family "Bacterial small subunit ribosomal RNA", at positions 524 to 898 of the family's 1533-position model. The record is from RNAcentral.
UACAGAGGUGCCAAGCGUUAGGCGGAAUCACUGGGCUUAAAGCGCGUGUAGGCGGGUCGUUAAGUGUCUUGUGAAAUCCCACGGCUCAACCGUGGAACUGCUGGGCAUACUGACGAUCUUGAGGCACUCAGGGGCUGUCGGAACAAAUGGUGGAGCGGUGAAAUGCGUAGAUAUCAUUUGGAACGCCAACGGUGAAAACAGACAGCUGGGGGUGUCCUGACGCUGAGACGCGAAAGCCAGGGGAGCGAACGGGAUUAGAUACCCCGGUAGUCCUGGCCCUAAACGAUGUCCACUAGGCCGCGGCGGCUCUGACGCCGUCGCGGCCGGAGCAAAAGUGUUAAGUGGACCGCCUGGGAAGUACGGUCGCAAGGCUAAA